RNAcentral lists this ribosomal RNA (451 nucleotides) under uncultured bacterium. RNAcentral describes it as "bacterial SSU rRNA". It matches the Rfam family "Bacterial small subunit ribosomal RNA", at positions 354 to 796 of the family's 1533-position model. The record is from RNAcentral.
GUGGGGAAUAUUGCGCAAUGGGCGAAAGCCUGACGCAGCAACGCCGCGUGGGGGAUGAAGGUUUUCGGAUUGUAAACCCCUUUCGAUCGGAACGAAUCUCCUCCUGGUAAAUAAUCAGGAGGAUCGACGGUACCGGGAGAAGAAGCCACGGCUAACUCUGUGCCAGCAGCCGCGGUAAGACAGAGGUGGCAAGCGUUGUUCGGAUUUAUUGGGCGUAAAGCGAACGCAGGCGGUUUGGUAAGUCAGGGGUGAAAGACCACAGCUUAACUGUGGUAUUGCCUUUGAUACUGCCUUUCUUGAGUGGAGUAGGGGGAAGCGGAAUUCCGAGUGUAGAGGUGAAAUUCGUAGAUAUUCGGAGGAACACCGGUGGCGAAGGCGGCUUCCUGGACUCUAACUGACGCUCAUGUUCGAAAGCGUGGGUAGCAAACAGGAUUAGAAACCCUAGUAGUCC